Molecule: ribosomal RNA, 429 nt
Filed under: uncultured prokaryote
Description: bacterial SSU rRNA
Rfam family: Bacterial small subunit ribosomal RNA
Source: RNAcentral
UAGGGAAUAUUCCGCAAUGGGCGAAAGCCUGACGGAGCGACACCGCGUGAAUGACGAAGUCUUUCGGGAUGUAAAGUUCAGUCGGUUGGGGAAGAAGGGCCUUUAUACGAAUAAUAUGAAGGAAGAGACGGUACCCAAAAUGAAGCCACGGCUAAUUACGUGCCAGCAGCCGCGGUAAUACGUAAGUGGCGAGCGUUAUCCGGAAUCACUGGGUGUAAAGGGUGUGUAGGCGGCGAUGUAAGAUUCAUAUAUAAUGAUAGGGCUCAACCCUGUUUUUGUGUGAAAGACUGCAUUGCUCGAGUGACGAAGAGGAAACUAGAACUCCAGGUGUAGCGGUGAAAUGUGUAGAUAUCUGGGGGAAUACCAAUGGCGAAGGCAGGUUUCUGGUUGUCAACUGACGCUGAGACACGAAAGCGUGGGGAUCAAACG